This 380-nucleotide unclassified non-coding RNA is filed under the name Hevea brasiliensis (rubber tree). The record is from RNAcentral. Lineage: Eukaryota; Viridiplantae; Streptophyta; Magnoliopsida; Malpighiales; Euphorbiaceae.
AUAAGGUCUAAGGUUGGUGGUAAUUUUCUUACUACUAUUCAAGAAUUGUUCUUGGAUUCUAGUAGUCUUAAAGACUUGAGAAAGUGUAGAGGGCUUCAUCAUUCUAACCACAGGCAUAAUGUCAUCCCUUAGUCCCCCAAUAAACACAGACAGAAAAUAUGCUCCUCCCAAAUUAGGCAUAGCUCUUUCUAGCCUAGUUCUGAUAUCUUUAAACUUAUCUUGAUACUCCUCAAUUGUCCCAUCUUAUCUCAUUAUCAUAAAUUCCUCAAUCACAUCUUCUAGUCCAUCCUCCCCAAGUGAACACAAUUCCCUCUCAAAAUCCUCUCAAGAAUGGGAUCCAACUCCUUUAACCCAAUUAUCCAUUAGAAACAAACUAGCAA